Molecule: vault RNA, 144 nt
Filed under: Acanthamoeba castellanii str. Neff
Lineage: Eukaryota; Discosea; Longamoebia; Acanthamoebidae
Rfam family: Vault RNA
About the family: This family of RNAs are found as part of the enigmatic vault ribonucleoprotein complex.
Source: Rfam by way of RNAcentral
AGGAGCGCACAGCUGAGUGGUUACUUCGAGGUAAUGCGCAAGACUCUUAAUCUUGAGAUCGGCGGUUCGAUCCCGCCCAGGGGCAUUAGUAGCCCCUGUAGCAUAGUUAACAACUAUCAACCACUGGCGCUAUCGCUCCUUGCU